Balaenoptera musculus (blue whale) is the source of this 964-nucleotide long non-coding RNA. RefSeq lists it as uncharacterized. Lineage: Eukaryota; Metazoa; Chordata; Mammalia; Artiodactyla; Balaenopteridae. The transcript has 3 exons. The record is from RefSeq and is a predicted model, not a curated record.
GUUCAGAGAGCUCUGAUCUAGCUAGCUGAGGGAACAAUUCACUGUUUAAUACAAUCACAGAAGUAAUAAGAGAAUGCAUCUUGUCAAAUAAUUCAGACAAUACAGAUGCACACAGUGUAAGAAGCAAAAGUCCUUGUUCUCUGUUUGGGGAGGAUUCCUUCUGAUGUUUUUCUAUGGCAAUGCUCUUUCAGAAUGGACACUCAUCUCCUCUUCCUUCUCUACAACUUCCAUUGCAUUGACCUGGCAAGACGGAUUCCUCUAAUAGGCAGCAUGGGAACUCCUUCUGUUUGGGAAGGAGAGCCCUGAACAGGCAGCAAUGAGCUUCUAUAGGAGGAAUGUGCACGAAGGAAGUGGGCUGGGAAACCUGCAUAGCUGAAGAGCCUCUUGGGAGACAAGGUUCAAUGAGAAUCAUCAAAUAUUUCAAGUAUGGAAAAGACAUGAUCUGAUGUGGAGAUGGCUGGCAUCUCAAACACAACACAUCUCAAACGAAUGCAUCAUCUUACACUGUAAGUUUACUUUCCUUGUGUUCCUUAUUUCAGGAAUGGCACCUGAUUUCCUAAUCUAGAAACCUUAGCGUUAUCAGGACUCAGUGCUCUCCUUCACUCCUCCAGAACCAAUGAUUAAAUACUGCCCAUUUUGCUUCAUAAAUGCGUCUCAACUUUUCUCCAUUCUCAAUGCUACUACCUUGAAACACGCCUGUAGCAUCUCUUACUUGGACUCUUAUAACUGUCUCAUAACGGUUUUCCUGAUAUCUCCCAGCUCAUUUUCUCAGGCAGAGUAAUUGUUCUGAAAUGCAAAUCUUACGGUGUCACUUUAUUACUUAAAAACUCUACACUGGCUCUCCAUUGCUCUUAGGAUAAAUAGCAAUUUCUUCAACAUGGAACAAAAUGACCCCUCAUAAUCUGGCUUUUUCCAGUUUCAUCCCCUCCACUCCUCAUCCCCCAGCCCCACCCCCAUCCCAGCC